Molecule: long non-coding RNA, 160 nt
Organism: Oncorhynchus tshawytscha (Chinook salmon)
Lineage: Eukaryota; Metazoa; Chordata; Actinopteri; Salmoniformes; Salmonidae
Exons: 3
Source: RefSeq, a predicted model, not a curated record
GAUAGGAGCAGACUACCAGAGGUGAUGAUACUAGAGGGACCAGCCUGAUAGGAGCAGACUACCAGAGGUGAGGAUACUAGGGGGACCAGCCUGAUAGGAGCAGACUACCAGAGGUGAUGAUACUAGGGGAAUCAGCCUACCAGAGGUGAGGAUACUAGGG